CUGGCCUCAGAGGUGACUCUCUUGCUUGCUGUCUCACCACUUUUCUAUUCUUUCUUGGAGACCAGCAUUGAAGUUGGCCAUGUUUUAAGACUAGCAACAGGAGAUGGACAGAUUGUGGACAGAGUUGCUCAAAAACUUCACAAGAAAAACUUCAAGGGAGGCCCCAAGACUGACUUUGAUCUUCCUGUGGAAUAUGUCAGCAGAAAAGUUCAGGAGUUCCACUGUCGCCAGAGAGCACUGACCAUUGACCUGUACUGCACUGCUGAUACUGACUUCAUCUGUUUGGCUGCAAAAGUAUGUUGAGAGAAUAACUAACAAGAAGCUGGUCUCCAAAUGGAAGAAGAUAAAUAGAUGAGAAGAAGGCAAGUUAAAGAAAGAGAAAAUAUAGGAAUUUAUGGAUUACUUUUCAAACUGUACAAGAAAGAGUUUGGCACAUAUGAUGAUAUGUCACUAAUGAAGAAAUGGCCUCAUAAGUCCAGAGAAGUUGCACUAUGUAUGACAGUGAAAUUAAACAAAAGCACUACUUCUCUGUGAUGUGUACAACUGGGUCACAGUGACAUUUGUUUUAUUCUUAAAGAGUAGCUUGAUAUUUCUGAUGCUCUAGAUAGAUUUAAAUUGUGAGGUAACUUUAAUAUUUCAUUGUGAAAAUGACCACUGUUAAUAGCAUAACUAAUGUAUAAUAGUGGCUCUGGUUUGACUUUAAUGGUGGACUGAGUGCC
Protopterus annectens (West African lungfish) is the source of this 719-nucleotide long non-coding RNA. RefSeq lists it as uncharacterized. The record is from RefSeq and is a predicted model, not a curated record. The transcript is spliced from 3 exons. Lineage: Eukaryota; Metazoa; Chordata; Ceratodontiformes; Protopteridae.